Molecule: ribosomal RNA, 458 nt
Filed under: uncultured bacterium
Lineage: Bacteria
Description: bacterial SSU rRNA
Rfam family: Bacterial small subunit ribosomal RNA
Source: RNAcentral
GAUGAAUGCUGGCGGCGUGCCUAAUACAUGCAAGUCGAGCGGUAAGGCCCUUCGGGUACACGAGCGGCGGACGGCUGAGUAACGCGUGGGAACAUGCCCCAAAGCGAGGGAUAACGCACCGAAAGGUGUGCUAAUACCGCAUAUGGUCUUCGGAUUAAAGGAUUUAUCCGCUUUGGGAGUGGCCCGCGUACGAUUAGAUUGUUGGUGAGGUAACGGCUCACCAAGUCGACGAUCGUUAACUGGUCUGAGAGGAUGAUCAGUCAGACUGGAACUGAGACACGGUCCAGACUCCUACGGGAGGCAGCAGUAAGGAAUCUUCCACAAUGGGCGAAAGCCUGAUGGAGCAACGCCGCGUGCAGGAUGAAGGCCCUCGGGUCGUAAACUGCUUUAUGAGUGAAGAAUAUGACGGUAACUCAUGAAUAAGCACCGGCUAACUACGUGCCAGCAGCCGCGGUAAU